CGGGGGGAGCAAGCGUUGUUCGGAUUUACUGGGACGUAAAGGGCGCGUAGGCGGCCACCGCAAGUCGACUGUGAAAUCUCCGGGCUUAACCCGGAAAGGUCAGCCGAUACUGCGGGGCUAGAGUGCAGAAGGGGCAACUGGAAUUCUCGGUGUAGCGGUGAAAUGCGUAGAUAUCGAGAGGAACACCUGCGGCGAAGGCGGGUUGCUGGGCUGACACUGACGCUGAGGCGCGAAAGCUAGGGGAGCGAACGGGAUUAGAUACCCCGGUAGUCCUAGCCUUAAACGAUGAAUGCUUGGUGUCUGGGGUUUUAUAGUCCCCGGGUGCCGUCGCUAACGCUUUAAGCAGUUCCGCCUGGGGAGUACGGUCGCAAGACUG
RNAcentral lists this ribosomal RNA (376 nucleotides) under uncultured organism. Its description in RNAcentral is "bacterial SSU rRNA". It matches the Rfam family "Bacterial small subunit ribosomal RNA", at positions 526 to 896 of the family's 1533-position model. The record is from RNAcentral.